This 442-nucleotide ribosomal RNA is filed under the name uncultured bacterium. RNAcentral's name for it is "partial 16S ribosomal RNA". It matches the Rfam family "Bacterial small subunit ribosomal RNA", at positions 338 to 795 of the family's 1533-position model. The record is from RNAcentral.
CCUACGGGAGGCAGCAGUGGGGAAUAUUGGGCAAUGGGCGCAAGCCUGACCCAGCAACGCCGCGUGAAGGAAGAAGGCUUUCGGGUUGUAAACGUCUUUUAAGAGGGAAGAGCAGAAGACGGUACCUCUUGAAUAAGCCACGGCUAACUACGUGCCAGCAGCCGCGGUAAUACGUAGGGGGCAAGCGUUGUCCGGAUGUACUGGGUGUAAAGGGCGGGUAGCCGGGCUGACAAGUCAGAUGUGAAAUUCCGGGGCUCAACCCCGGACUUGCAUUUGAAACUGUUGGUCUUGAGGAUCGUAGAGGCAGGCGGAAUUCCUAGUGUAGCGGUGAAAUGCGUAGAUAUUAGGAGGAACACCAGUGGCGAAGGCGGCCUGCUGGACGACAACUGACGGUGAGGCGCGAAAGCGUGGGGAGCAAACAGGAUUAGAUACCCCUGUAGUC